UUGACCUCGGAUUAGGUAGGAAUACCCGCUGAACUUAAGCAUAUCAAUA
RNAcentral lists this ribosomal RNA (49 nucleotides) under Hypomontagnella submonticulosa. RNAcentral describes it as "partial 28S ribosomal RNA". The record is from RNAcentral. Lineage: Eukaryota; Fungi; Ascomycota; Sordariomycetes; Xylariales; Hypoxylaceae.